Molecule: ribosomal RNA, 452 nt
Filed under: uncultured bacterium
Lineage: Bacteria
Description: bacterial SSU rRNA
Rfam family: Bacterial small subunit ribosomal RNA
Source: RNAcentral
UACGGAAGGCAGCAGUGGGGAAUAUUGCACAAUGGACGCAAGCCUGAUGCAGCCAUGCCGCGUGUAUGAAAAAGGCCUUCGGGUUGUAAAGUACUUUCAGUCGUGAGGAAGGUGUUAAGGUUAAUAACCUUAGCAAUUGACGUUAGCGACAGAAGAAGCACCGGCUAACUCCGUGCCAGCAGCCGCGGUAAUACGGAGGGUGCGAGCGUUAAUCGGAAUUACUGGGCGUAAAGGGCACGCAGGCGGUUAAUUAAGUUGGAUGUGAAAUCCCCGGGCUUAACCUGGGAAUGGCAUUCAAGCUGGUUAGCUAGAGUCUUGUAGAGGGGGUAGAAUUCCAUGUGUAGCGGUGAAAUGCGUAGAGAUGUGGAGGAAUACCGGUGGCGAAGGCGGCCCCUGGACAAAGACUGACGCUCAUGUGCGAAAGCGUGGGGAGCAAACGAGGAUUAGAUACC